GAGUUUGAUCCUGGCUCAGGAUGAACGCUGGCGGCGUGCCUAACACAUGCAAGUCGAACGGAUCCAUAUUGAAACCUAGUGAUGUAUGGAUUAGUGGCGGACGGGUGAGUAACGCGUGGAUAACCUGCCGUAUACAGGGGGAUAACACUUAGAAAUAGGUGCUAAUACCGCAUAAGCGCACGGUUCCGCAUGGAACAGUGUGAAAAACUCCGGUGGUAUACGAUGGAUCCGCGUCUGAUUAGCCAGUUGGCGGGGUAACGGCCCACCAAAGCGACGAUCAGUAGCCGGCCUGAGAGGGUGAACGGCCACAUUGGGACUGAGACACGGCCCAAACUCCUACGGGAGGCAGCAGUGGGGAAUAUUGCACAAUGGGGGAAACCCUGAUGCAGCGACGCCGCGUGAGUGAAGAAGUAUCUCGGUACGUAAAGCUCUAUCAGCAGGGAAGAAAAUGACGGUACCUGACUAAGAAGCCCCGGCUAACUACGUGCCAGCCGCCGCCGUAAG
Molecule: ribosomal RNA, 504 nt
Filed under: uncultured microorganism
Description: bacterial SSU rRNA
Rfam family: Bacterial small subunit ribosomal RNA
Source: RNAcentral